Molecule: non-coding RNA, 80 nt
Organism: Phthorimaea operculella (potato tuberworm)
Lineage: Eukaryota; Metazoa; Arthropoda; Insecta; Lepidoptera; Gelechiidae
Source: the annotation of a GenBank genome assembly
GCAUCGAUAGCUCAGUGGCAGAGCGGUGGGGCGUUUACCCAUGCGGCCCGGUCGAUCCGGUUCGAUCCCCAGUCGAUGCA